RNAcentral lists this ribosomal RNA (253 nucleotides) under uncultured bacterium. Its description in RNAcentral is "partial 16S ribosomal RNA". It matches the Rfam family "Bacterial small subunit ribosomal RNA", at positions 524 to 776 of the family's 1533-position model. The record is from RNAcentral.
UACGGGGGGGGCAAGCGUUGUUCGGAAUUACUGGGCGUAAAGGGCUCGUAGGCGGCCAACUAAGUCAUACGUGAAAUCCCUCGGCUUAACCGGGGAACUGCGUCUGACACUAGAUGGCUUGAGAUUGGGAGAGGGAUGCGGAAUUCCAGGUGUAGCGGUGAAAUGCGUAGAUAUCUGGAGGAACACCGGUGGCGAAGGCGGCAUCCUGGACCAACACUGACGCUGAGGAGCGAAAGCCAGGGGAGCAAACGGG